RNAcentral lists this ribosomal RNA (512 nucleotides) under uncultured bacterium. Its description in RNAcentral is "partial 16S ribosomal RNA". It matches the Rfam family "Bacterial small subunit ribosomal RNA", at positions 30 to 507 of the family's 1533-position model. The record is from RNAcentral.
ACGAACGCUGGCGGCGUGCUUAACACAUGCAAGUCGAACGAAAAGAGGGAAAGAGCUUGCUCUUUCCGGAAUUGAGUGGCAAACGGGUGAGUAACACGUAAACAACCUGCCUUCAGGAUGGGGACAACAGACGGAAACGACUGCUAAUACCGAAUAAGUUCCAAGAGCCGCAUGGCCCAUGGAAGAAAAGGUGGCCUCUACCUGUAAGCUAUCGCCUGAAGAGGGGUUUGCGUCUGAUUAGCUGGUUGGAGGGGUAACGGCCCACCAAGGCGACGAUCAGUAGCCGGUCUGAGAGGAUGAACGGUCACACUGGAACUGAGACACGGUCCAGACUCCUACGGGAGGCAGCAGUGGGGAAUCUUCCGCAAUGGGCGAAAGCCUGACGGAGCAACGCCGCGUGAGUGAUGACGGCCUUCGGGUUGUAAAACUCUGUGAUCCGGGACGAAAAGGCAGAGUGCGAAGAACAAACUGCAUUGACGGUACCGGAAAAGCAAGCCACGGCUAACUACGUG